UAUGCCGCCAGAAAAGCUGAAAUAAAGGGGAAAAGGAAAACCGGAAAACAUCACUGGAGGGAACACUUGUUAUCGGAACAAGAAACGCUUAUUGGGAAAAUAUCACCAGAAAAGAGAGCAUUGCCGCUAUUAGAAGUGUUUUCAAUCCCACUGUCAUUAGAGAAGAGAAUGCUUGUUGCCGAUGCCGGAGGAGACAAACAAGGUCCCUAAUGGCUGGGAAAAACGUCUUGAUUUGAAGGUA
Nelumbo nucifera (sacred lotus) is the source of this 241-nucleotide non-coding RNA. Lineage: Eukaryota; Viridiplantae; Streptophyta; Magnoliopsida; Proteales; Nelumbonaceae. The record is from RefSeq and is a predicted model, not a curated record.